Mycena vulgaris is the source of this 95-nucleotide non-coding RNA. The record is from the annotation of a GenBank genome assembly. NCBI's taxonomy places the organism in Eukaryota, Fungi, Basidiomycota, Agaricomycetes, Agaricales, Mycenaceae.
GGUCUGGUGGUGUAGUGGUUACACACCCCCUCUUCAUAGUAGCUUACUCGACAUUGUACAUGUGGGAGUUCCUUGUUCGACUCAAGGCCAGGCCA